GUUAUCUUUGGUUAUCUAGCUGUAUGAGUGUUAUACAUUCUUCAUAAAGCUAGAUAACCGAAAGUAACAAGAAUCCCAUUACACACCUGAAAGGCAUCACCCCACCUUGAGAUCUGUACUCCUCUCCUCUUCUCUUUUUCCUCCUAAAUCUCCCUCAAUCUCUCUCCUCCUCAAUCUCUGCAUCACAAAAUGGCCUCCAUCACUGCUGAUAGAGAAGAACAACCAUCCUCGAUGCCAGGGAAAGGAUAGAGUGAAGAAUCGGGGCAGGUCGGUUGUGUGGCUGUCGUCCUGCUGGCGUUGCUGCUCCCCUCCCCUUCGCUGCUCGCCUGCCCCCUUCCUCCCGUCACGAGAUGCAGUUUGCACAAAGCCACCAUCUUAGAACAAGCGGGCAUUAAAUGGAAGUGGAAAAUAAGCAGGUUUUUAGAGUCAAGUCGAAUAACGUGAAAUCCAUCAAAUGGAGGAUCGGAGCUGAAACGGGAUGAUGGAGUCAAACGGGUCUUUACUAUGCAUGUGCCCCAACAUCAGAUAAAAGACAGCACUUUAAUUGUUCUACAUGACUUCAAUCUUUGGCAAUUUUGAAGCAGUUAUAGCAUCAAAUGUUCUAAGGGAUGUAUGUUGCGAGCCAAGCGUGUGUGAGUGUGUAGAAGAUGAGAGAAACUCUUUGUAGGGGUCUGGGUCAAAGUACUCAGCAAACUGUGUAUUUGUAGAAACGCACUUGUUUGGGAUUCUCCAAGUAUAAAAAAAGAUAUUCGGGUAGUUCUAUAGUGAAUUUAAUGAGGGUUUUCUAGAAAAUGACAUUUUUAAAGGCCAAUCAUUUAGGUACUUUUUGAUAAAAAAAGAAAAAAGAAAGAGAUUAAAAAAAAAUGUCUUAUAAAUUUAACGCAGAUCUAGUCUGUCUUGGUACAAUCUUUAGCAUAAUGCACUUUAUAACACCCCCACCCUUUUUUUAGUUCAGUAGUUUUCAGUAUUAAAGGAAAAUGUAGUGGCCUGUGUACAUACCCUAAUGUAUUUCUCCAAUAACUGAUUACUAAAUGAAAUCUAACAUGAAUUAUUAGAAAUGGUGUG
RNAcentral lists this long non-coding RNA (1065 nucleotides) under Sinocyclocheilus grahami. RNAcentral describes it as "lncRNA (ENSSGRG00000038935.1)". The stretch from base 1 to 73 matches the Rfam family "mir-9/mir-79 microRNA precursor family". The record is from RNAcentral. Lineage: Eukaryota; Metazoa; Chordata; Actinopteri; Cypriniformes; Cyprinidae.